GAUGAACGCUAGCUACAGGCUUAACGCAUGCAAGUCGAGGGGAAACGACAUCGAAAGCUUGCUUUUGAUGGGCGUCGACCGGCGCACGGGUGAGUAACGCGUAUCCAACCUGCCCAUCACUUGGGAAUAACCUUGCGAAAGUAAGACUAAUACCCAAUGAUAUCCCACGAAGGCAUCGGAAUGGGAUUAAAGAUUUAUCGGCGAUGGAUGGGGAUGCGUCUGAUUAGCUUGUUGGCGGGGUAACGGCCCACCAAGGCAACGAUCAGUAGGGGUUCUGAGAGGAAGGUCCCCCACAUUGGAACUGAGACACGGUCCAAACGCCUACGGGAGGCAGCAGUGAGGAAUAUUGGUCAAUGGGCGAGAGCCUGAACCAGCCAAGUAGCGUGCAGGAAGACGGCCCUAUGGGUUGUAAACUGCUUUUAUAAGGGAAUAAAGUGGGUCACGUGUGACUUUUUGCAUGUACCUUAUGAAUAAGGACCGGCUAAUUCCGUG
Molecule: ribosomal RNA, 492 nt
Filed under: uncultured bacterium
Lineage: Bacteria
Description: partial 16S ribosomal RNA
Rfam family: Bacterial small subunit ribosomal RNA
Source: RNAcentral